CUCCUAGCCAAAGGUCUGGUUGUAAGAGCUGUUGUUCUGAAAGAGUAAAAAUCGAGAGGAUGUCUGAUUAUGUGUAAAGCCAGCAAUUAACUAGCGUAACAGGGUUUUCCACAAGCAAUGCCCUUGGCAAUUGUCAGUUUGAUUCUGAUACGAGCACUAAUUUCCGUGGACCUUAUCGGCAAACACCAACACGUUAGUAGCUGUCGAACUAAUCGGCGAUGUUUCACCCGCCCCGUCGAAGAGUUUUACUUUUUAUCAUCAUCGGGUUUGGCUGCUGCAUCAUCUUGUUCAUGAACCAAUUACUUUACACACAACAAUUCCAGUCAAUUGCAAACAUCAAAGAGUACACCAAUGGAAUAAUUAUCGACGACGAAAAUAACGAUCUCUACUCAAAAGUGCGCGUGUUGUGCUGGGUUAUGACGUCACCCGACAAUCACAAAACAAAAGCGUUGGCAGUCAAAGAAACGUGGGGUAAACGCUGUAACAUUUUGCUGUUUAUGAGUUCCGCAGAAGAUUCAAUGUUACCAACUGUGAAUCUGCCCGUGCGUGAGGGCCGAAACGGACUAUGGGGUAAAACACGGGAGGCAUUUCGUUACGCAUGGAACAAUUACAGAGAUCAAGCAGACUGGUUUCUGAAGGCUGACGAUGACACUUAUGUUAUUGUUGAGAAUUUGCGAUAUUUCCUAUCAGCCUUUAACACAUCGACACCGUUGUGGUUCGGCCACAAGUAUAAAGUAAUUGUUAAAUCAGGAUAUUUCAGCGGUGGGGCUGGUUAUGCGUUAAGUAAAGAAGCGACCAGGAGAUUCGUCGAAGAAGGUUAUUUUAACGCACUCAAAUGUCGACACGAUCACGAAGGGGCGGAAGAUGCAGAAAUGGGAAAAUGCAUGGAAAAUCUGAACGUCUCGACAAUGGACACGCGGGACUCUAAAGGAAGAGGGCGAUUCUUUCCUUUUGUUCCAGAGCAACACUACUUUCCUGGUAAAAUUACACCAAGUUAUUGGUAUUGGAAUAAUAUUUAUUAUCCACCCACAAAGGGUAAAGAUUGUUGUUCUGACAGUGCUAUAUCCUUCCACUACGUCAAUCCUCAAUUGAUGCACAUAUUCGACUAUUUGAUUUAUCAACUUCGCCCUUAUGGAAUGCCAGCCGAUCAACGACCCGCAACUCCCGAACCACCCCCAGACUUAAAUCUGACUGCUUUACCGUGGUUCGCCCCUCCAGAUGAAAUCAUUACUAUUCCUAGCACAAGCACAACUGAAAAAAAUAGUGUACUUCCACCAACUAUGUUAAACACAACUCUAUCCGCACAACAGAACGCAACUAUAAACCAAACACAAUUGAACUUGACUGAUGCCAUUUUUUCCAAUUCGACAAAUCCAGAAAAUAUUGUUGAUCUUACUCCUAAAAGUGCUACUACUAUCCAAACUGCACUGAAUUCGACGGAAGCUAAUUCUUUCAAUUUGACAAGUCCUGAAAAUAUUGUUGAACUUACUUCAAAAACAAAAAGGGCGGGAGUAGUAAACAAAUUACGGAGUGCAAUUUUCGGAUAAUACAACUUUUUUCUACAUUCCGAUUCUUUUUCAAGCACAUGAAAACUUUUUAUGAACUGACGGUGUGCCUCACAGUGGGCGAAAAAAUUUCGGAGAAUGAUUCAAUAAUAAUAAUAAAAAAAACUUUUAUCUUGAUUGCAUUUAAGAUAACCAGCAUAAAUUUAUCAUAAAUAAAGUAAGUAAUCGAGGUAUUAAUUACGUAACACCUUCAGAAAUUGCUGCAGACGAAAUUGACUGCACCCUUAUCGUAUUUUUUGAAAUUUGACAGAGGUUGUUGGGGGGGGGGGGGACAAUAGGAAAGAAGAGAAACAACCAGAAUCGACAGAAGGGUUUGCUAAUAUUUGGCAGUUAACUAUAGCGCAACAAGGAUUUCAGGUUUCUUUUAGUAAUGCCCUAGGCAGUUUUCAGUUUGAUUCUGAAACGAGUUUUAUUUUUCUAUUGUUGACCCUUUCGACAAAAACCAACAGGCUAGUGUUGGUAUCUGUUGAAUUGUUCUACCUGAUCACCAUGUCGAUAUCGAGUGCAGGAUCGACGAUGUUUCACCUGCCACGUCGAAGUUUAUUAUUUUUUGUAAUUGUUGGUUUUAGUUGCUGUGUCAUCUUCUUCAUGAACCAGUUACUUUAUGUACAACAAUCCCAGUCGAUUGAAAAUUUCAAAGAAUACGCCAACGGAAUAGCUAUCGAAGACGAAAAUAACGAUCUCUACUCAAAAGUGCGCGUGUUGUGCUGGGUUAUGACGUCACCCGACAA
This is an RNA transcript of Daphnia pulicaria, 2296 nucleotides long. It is a transcript of the gene named glycoprotein-N-acetylgalactosamine 3-beta-galactosyltransferase 1-like, with no coding region annotated. The transcript is spliced from 13 exons. NCBI's taxonomy places the organism in Eukaryota, Metazoa, Arthropoda, Branchiopoda, Diplostraca, Daphniidae. The record is from RefSeq and is a predicted model, not a curated record.